CCCCUAGAUGUUCUGGGCCGCACGCGCGCUACACUGAACAGUUCAACAAGUCUUAACCUUGGCCGAUAGGUCUGGGUAAUCUUUGAACGCUGUUCGUGAUUGGGAUAGACCUUUGCAAUUAUGGGUCUUCAACGAGGAAUUCCUAGUAAACGCAAGUCAUCAGCUUGCAUUGAUUACGUCCCUGCCCUUUGUACACACCGCCCGUCGCUCCUACCGAUUGAAUGUGUUGGUGAGGAGCUCGGAUUGGCAGCAGUUGGUGGUUCGCCACCGGCUAUUGCUGAGAAGUCCUCCAAACCGCCCCAUUUAGAGGAAGGAGAAGUCGUAACA
RNAcentral lists this ribosomal RNA (327 nucleotides) under uncultured eukaryote. RNAcentral's name for it is "partial 18S ribosomal RNA". It matches the Rfam family "Eukaryotic small subunit ribosomal RNA", at positions 1470 to 1796 of the family's 1831-position model. The record is from RNAcentral.